GUCCUUGUAGUGUAGUGGUUAUCACGUCUGCUUUACACGCAGAAGGCCUCUGGUUCGAUCCCAGACAAGGACA
Trichuris suis (pig whipworm) is the source of this 73-nucleotide non-coding RNA. The record is from Rfam. Lineage: Eukaryota; Metazoa; Nematoda; Enoplea; Trichinellida; Trichuridae.